ACGCUCGACACCUACGGGAGACAGCAGUAGGGAAUCUUCCACAAUGGACGCAAGUCUGAUGGAGCAACGCCGCGUGAGUGAAGAAGGUUUUCGGAUCGUAAAGCUCUGUUGUUGGUGAAGAAGGAUAGAGGUAGUAACUGGCCUUUAUUUGACGGUAAUCAACCAGAAAGUCACGGCUAACUACGUGCAAGCAGCCGCGGUAAUCUGAGCGGGCUGGCAAGGC
Molecule: ribosomal RNA, 223 nt
Filed under: uncultured bacterium
Lineage: Bacteria
Description: partial 16S ribosomal RNA
Rfam family: Bacterial small subunit ribosomal RNA
Source: RNAcentral